Cornus florida is the source of this 3217-nucleotide long non-coding RNA. RefSeq lists it as uncharacterized. NCBI's taxonomy places the organism in Eukaryota, Viridiplantae, Streptophyta, Magnoliopsida, Cornales, Cornaceae. The record is from RefSeq and is a predicted model, not a curated record. The transcript is spliced from 4 exons.
UUGUCCAUGGCCUGAUCAAGUCAUGACACGUUUCAUAAAUAAUAUAAAAUUCUGUUGAAUAUUGCCCGUCAAUUUUCGGAUAUUACCCGUUCUUUUGCCUCGCUGCCGAGUCAACUCCUCCAUCUUCCCUCAUAUCCGAUUCUCGUUUGGUGGCUAUUGGCGAAGAAGCAACUGGCGUUGAGGUCGGCGGUGUAGUCCGUUGUCGUCGAGGUGGCCUAAGAAGAGUAUGGAGAGGAUAGAGUGAGUGGUGUUGGAUUGGUGGCUGUUGGAGACUGAGUUGACUCGGCAGCGAGGCAGAGCCACGGCCGAAUUGACAAAGACCUCGUUGCCGACGGCGAUGGCUUCGAUUUGGGUGGAGGGUUGGUAGCUGACCAUGGCUGUCGCCACCAUCGGUCCUCUCAUCUCUCUAACCUUCUACCACCACCCACAAUCGGCCCCUCCACCACUGCUCACCCACCAUACGAAACCACCAUCUCCACCCCUUCCCUGCACCACCCACAAUCGGCAUCCCCGCGAGCUCUCUCUCUCCAUUUAGAUCACAGAGUAGUUAGAAUCUAGGGUCAGGUUUAGACACCAUUUUGUGCUAUUGAUUCAUCACCGAAAUCCCUAAAUCGAAGAACGAAUCUGCCAUCAUCGUCUUUUGAUUUGAUGGCGGAAUUGGCCGAAUUCCCAGCACCGGCGCUCCAUUGGGUCAGGAAGAGUUACCAAUCGUCCUCGCCGUCGUCGUCCGGUAUCUCGUCACCAUGGUGGGUCGUCUGCCCUACCGCCGUCAUCUCCUGCAACUGCCAGCUGGCCGGUGUUGGUUGUGGUGUAUAUAAUAUAUAUAUAUAUAUAUAUAUAUAUAUAUAUAUAUAUAUAAGGGUUUACUGAUUUUGGGGGUGAGAAAGAUUGAUAAUGAAAUGGGUUUUUUUUAAUUUUUUAUAAUUGGGUUCGCUGGUUAGGUGAGUGAAAGAGAGAUGGCCAUGGAUGUGUUGGCUAGGUGAGAGAUAAAAGAAAGAGAAAGGAGGUCAAGAAUGGUGGUGGUGGCGGCGGCGACGGAAAGAUACGAGGCAGGGAGCGAUCUUCUGAAAAAAGAAAAAAUAAAAAAAUAAAAAAAAUAAAAAUUGUUCUGUCGGGUCAAACCCAUUUAAAUUGAGUAUUACCCAACUUAAGUUAAAUAGUGUAAUGAACACUGUCAUGUUGUCCCAGAGAGAGAGAGAGGGUUUGAGGUAGGGUCGAUUGGUCGAGGGUUUGAGGGGGCGGCUUCUUGGGACAGUUUUUGCAGCUUCUUCCUCCGACGGAAAGGAUGCUUCAGGUACGGGCCAAGAGAAAAGCAAUGGAAUUAAACAAAGAGGGACCAACUGGGAGAAAUGGCUUCCUUCGACAACGGAAGCGAUGGGAUGCUUCAGGUACGGGCCAAGAGAAAAUCAAUGGAAUUAAACAAAGAGGGACCGACUGUAGGCAUUCAUUUCGGCACCACUUGCUGUUCCCUAGCUGUUAUUGAAGGAAACAUUGCAACAAUAGCAGCCACACUUCCUUGUUACAUUUCUUUUGCGAACUCGGGGCCAUUAAUUGGCCAUGCUGCGAAGGAACUUUUUCCUAUGAAUCAAAUUUAUGGUUAGAUGCUUUAUCUUGUUUGUAUGUGUUGGUGAUGCCUUUUAUUGUCCAAUUAACUGAGUUGUAUAGGAUUGGGUGAAAAUCACCCACAAAUUGAUUUGGGGAUAACUGCGCACCGUAGUCACCACCUUCCUCUGCUUGUUUUCAGGGUUACUUAACAGUGGGUAGGUUUUAGUUCUCCUCCCGUUAAUUCAUUAUCCAGCGAGCAUAUUCGUGCUUGACUUGAUUUCUCUACAGAAUUCAAAUAGUUAUGGCAUGGAAUUGAUUAAUUGGGUGGCUGGGAGAGUCGCCUGUUCAUCAAGCUUUCGAGCAGCUCUUUCAACUGCCGCCUAAUCCCCCUAUGCUCAAGAACCGAGAGCCAUCCAGUCCCCGGACGGCCGGAGGGAGCUUACUUAUAGAAAGAAGUCUAGGCCGGUCAAAGGAGGAUGAAAAUAAAAUCUAAAGACCACUUCAAUGAUUAUCUAAAGCCGUGUUGGUCUCAACAUUUAAGGUUUGUUGGCACCACAGCGAGUGCCCUCCAUUCCAAGUUCCUGUUCCCAUGGUUUGCACAUGAUUGAAAGUUUACAUGAAGAAGCGCCUUUGAUAAAGGUGAACAGCAAAGGAGUGGAAAAACAUUUAUCUCCGGAAACAUUUACUUGGGGUCUGCAUCGUGGAUGUGGCUUGUGCCUUACCCAACAAGUUAGAGAAUCCCAGGGGGAUGGUAUUCAAAAUGCAAUUACAUUUGCAGAUCUCAGGUUGGCUGAUACCUACACUGAAGUUACCGCUCUAGUCUCUGCUUAUGGUUAUGAGAAGGAGAUUAAGAAUCCUGUCAUCAAAAAUGUUUUGAUUGUAGAUGUAGGUGGGACGGCAUCAAAUGUGACAUUUUUCAGUGUGGGACCGAACAAAUUGGAAUACGAAGAAACUACUACAGAUAAUAAAAUUUGCCGUGAAAGCAUAGACAUAAAUAUGGCGCAUCACAUUUGGGAUAAGUUCAAUAAGAGGUAUAGUGGUGUCUAUGCUAACAUGGAUGUGAUAAAUUGACUACUCAUCCCAUGUGAGAAAGCAAAAAUUUCACUAUCAUUGAAUGCUAUUGUCGAGGUCCAGGUGAAACAAUUGUUAGAGGGGGUUGAUUAUAGCACCUCCUUCACAAGCCCCAAGUUUGAGGAGGUUAAUGGGUACCUUUUUGAGUCUCUGGUUAAAAUGAUAAGGUUUUAUUUGAGAAGUUUGCUAAGGACGAGUAUAGCCGCCUGCAUGAGAUUGUUUUGGUUUGGGGUUGUUCAAACAUUCCCAAAGUUCAAGAAGUGGUACAGGCACAGUUUGAGAGCAAGCUGCAAAUGAGGUUGAAACCUGAAUAUGUCGUGGCUUGUGGUGUGGCAAUGAGAUCGAUAUGCUCAGGAGAAGGAGAAGGCGAAGGCUACUGAGCAUCAAGAAGUAACAGGGAUGAGAUAUCCUGUGGUGUGGCAAUGAUAUCUCCUUAUGAGAAGGAUGAUGCCCCAGUUACACUGGUUAGAUUCAAAGCUAUGGAGAGGGAUUUGAAAGACGAUGUUACUUGGAUUAAGGAGAGGUUAACAAAAGGAGGGUAAAACUUCUUGUUCAGAAUGAAAUUUUAUAUAUGGAGACUUGUUUGUUUAGAUUUUAGGUA